CGACCCCGGUGUCGCCGCCGGUUCCCUGGGCGCUGCGCGGUGGCGGGAGGGCUGCCCGGCCCCGGCGGCUGCUGAAGGCCGGUUCCGGGCUCCCCCCGGGCACCGCUGUCCCCCGGAGCCGCCGGUGAGCUGUGCGUUCCCUCCAGGUGACGGUGUGUCCCGCAGCCACAGCGCAGCCCCCGGUGACUCUGCCCUGGGCGCCAUCCGGCCCCCGGGGACAUGGAGGGGGCGGGCGGCAGGGGCCGGGGCGCGGUGGGGGACCUGAGGAGGAGCUGGCAGAGCUGGGCGGACGAUCACAUCCAGUACCAGCAGAAGAACCCCUUCAGCGGAGAGGCCGGGCCGGCCCCCAGGGCCCUGCCCGCUCCCCGGGGAGACCCCUCCUACGGGAGACCCCCCGAGGGGUCGCGGACCGAGCAGCGGGGAAAAGACGCUCACUCCCAGGUGGGGAAGGAGGUGGAGGAGCUGUGCAUGGUCAUCAGGAGGACGGGAGAGGUGGGAGAAGACGGACUCGUGAGCGUGACCUUCGGGCGGCUGUUCGAGACCUACGUGACCAUCUCCAACAAGGUGGUGGGGAUCCUGCUGAGAGCCAGAAAGCACGGGCUGGUUCGCUUCGAAGGUGAGAUGCUCUGGCAAGGAAAGGAUGAUGAUGUGGUCAUCACUUUGCUGGAAUAAGGCUGUCACCACACUGCUGUGGGGUUCCGUUUGGAAAAACGUACCUGGAUACCGUCUUGGAAGAGGUUUUCAGUAGGAAUGUCACCUCUGCUGCUUGCUGGGACGUGAGCAGGAGAGAAAAUGGGCAAGAAGGAUGAAAAGUAUCUCUGCAAGAAUGGCAGAGGUUUGGACAGAAGUCACCAAUAAGGAACCAACCCACCGAGCUGCUGCUAGAUUGUCCUUGCCUUGUGAUCACCCAGCACCACGUGGACAGCAGUUCCCCAGGUAACUCUGCUGCUUUGGGCUGCGGAAAGUACAAACACUGACUCUGCUGCUCCACACUGACCGUGCUGGCUGUGAGACACUCACUGGGGGCUCUGGAUUUGUAAAACACUGAAUUGAAAACUUUUAUGGGAAUUCAUAUACAUCUUCAAAAAAAAGAGCCUGGUAUGUAACAGAAGUUUAAAUUAUAUUCACAUGGUGAAACUGAGUAAAUGGAAGUUACUUUCACGCAGUAUCUGAAAACUAACAAAUUUACAGAAACAUCACAGCAAGGGUAUUUGAUAGUUCCUAAAUUGCUUACAUCUUGUGUGCAUUUCAGAGAGCUGCACUAGUGCUGGUAUUUAAUAGUCUAUUCUUAGUAUCAUAUCUUCCCCUAAUCUUCCAUCUCGUUUUUCCUCUGUAUCUCACAGUUUUUACCUGUUCUGUGCUUCUGUUGCUGCAUCGUACCCUAGAGAUCCCAAAGCCCUGCAGCCUUCUUGGUGAAUUCAGCUGAUUCCCCUUCCUGGAGGUCGGGUGCCACAAUGGAAAGAUGUGAAAGGCAAGGGACACUCUGCUCAGGGACACUCUGCCUUCCUGAAA
Calidris pugnax (ruff) is the source of this 1512-nucleotide RNA transcript. It is a transcript of the gene named actin-binding Rho-activating protein-like, with no coding region annotated. The transcript is spliced from 3 exons. Lineage: Eukaryota; Metazoa; Chordata; Aves; Charadriiformes; Scolopacidae. The record is from RefSeq and is a predicted model, not a curated record.